Molecule: ribosomal RNA, 569 nt
Filed under: uncultured bacterium
Lineage: Bacteria
Description: bacterial SSU rRNA
Rfam family: Bacterial small subunit ribosomal RNA
Source: RNAcentral
CGCACAAGCGGUGGAGCAUGUGGUUUAAUUCGAUGCAACGCGAAGAACCUUACCUGGGCCUGACAUGCUGGUGGUAGGAACCCGAAAGGGGGACGACCUUAGGGGUAACUCUAAGGAGCCAGCACAGGUGCUGCAUGGCUGUCGUCAGCUCGUGCCGUGAGGUGUCGGGUUAAGUCCCGCAACGAGCGCAACCCCUAUCCCCUGUUGCCAUCAGGUAAAGCUGGGCACUCUGGGGAAACUGCCGGCGACAAGCCGGAGGAAGGUGGGGAUGACGUCAAGUCCGCAUGGCCCUUAUGUCCAGGGCUACACACGUGCUACAAUGGGCGCUAUAGAGGGUAGCAAGCCCGCGAGGGUGAGCCAAUCCCUAAAAAGCGCUCUCAGUUGGGAUCGGAGUCUGCAAUUCGACUCCGUGAACCCGGAAUCGCUAGUAAUCGCGCAUCAGCUACGGCGCGGUGAAUACGUUCCCGGGCCUUGUACACACCGCCCGUCACACCACGAGAGCUGGCUUCAUCCGAAGUUGGUGAGCUAACCCGUAAGGGAGGCANCCAACGAAGAUGGGGCUGGUGAUU